This is a long non-coding RNA of Pogoniulus pusillus (Red-fronted tinkerbird), 1286 nucleotides long. RefSeq lists it as uncharacterized. The transcript has 6 exons. The record is from RefSeq and is a predicted model, not a curated record. Lineage: Eukaryota; Metazoa; Chordata; Aves; Piciformes; Lybiidae.
GGUUUAUAAAGUGCUGAGUGUCCCAGAGGGAGCAGGCAGUGUUUGCAGGAAGAUGAAGCCUGCCAUCUCCAGCUGGCCCAGCCAGGCAGCGGGAAAUCUAAAUGAAUUCAGGAAUGGCUUCUGCUUUCUGAGGGAGGAUGCUGCUCCCCAGCUAUGGAAACGGCUCAGCAGAACACUGAUCGACAGCAGGCACGGGGGGGGUUGUGCUCUUGUUGGUUCCUGGCUUCCUUCACCUUCCAUGGGGUCGCUCUGAAUUGGCCAUCUGGAAGCUGGGAUUGAGCCUUCUCCCGCUGAUGAAGGAGCUGCAACGGCUUGGUGCUGACCCUGCUGUCAGUCAUUUUGGACCCACCCUGCUAUCCCUUCCAGGUUGUGGGAGUUAACAGCCAGGGAGGAGGCAAUGUAGAGGAGCCUGCUGGGUGGUCUGUUCCAGUCUCCUUCCUGCAAAGGUCACUGUCCUGUGCCCACCUUGCCCUGCUCCAGCAUCCCCUGCUCACCACAGCAGUGCUUGAGUCACUCUUUUGGACUGCAGUAGCAGAUUACUGCAGGGAGCAGCUCUUUUGACUAAGCAAUUUGUCCUUCCAUUAAGAAAAGAGUUCAUGAAAAGUGCAUUUGCUUAAAGAAGUCAAGGAGGAGGAGCAGGAGGCAACUUCACCCACAGCAUGCCUGCAGAGGGGCCAAAAGAUGCCAGCCUGGGAGUCACUUAGGUUACAUCACCCCUUCAGAGAGGAGGAUUUAGCCAGAGACAUUUGAAAAGGAAGACUGAAGUAUGACAAAGUAACUGGUGAGUGAAGUGAGAUGCUGCUUUGCAAGGACCCAGGCAGAGAGAGCAGCCACCAAGCAUCAGAGAGAGCAGCCACCAAGCAGCUUCUGUGAGUUUGUGAAGGCAAAGACCUGACUUUGGGGAUGCAGCUGGGUUCUGGUCAUUAAUUCAUUGGGGUCAAGAUGCCAACCCUGUGCUCCAGUGUUAAUGAUCCACAUCUGGGGAUGAUAUGGGAGAGUGAAGAGCCACUAAGAAGACAAGUGCUUGGGAGCAUCCCAGAUAGAGGUGGUAGAGUGUGGUUGCUGGAAAUUUUAGAUACCUCCUUUCUGGAGAAACUCCAAGUAGCUCCAAAAGACCUUGUUCACACCAGGCUGCUGCUGGGAAUGCUGCCUGGGCUGCUGGCACUGUGGGGUGGCACAUGGCAAGGCUCAGUGGGCUCCUACCCAUCUAGGAGGUGUCACACUUUUAAAGUGCUUUUUUCUCUUCUGUGUCAUUGUGUUAAAUAAUUAAGUCUGCUCCAUCUUUA